CUUUCUUCUUUUAUUCUCUUUCUUCUUUUAUUAUUUUAUAUUGUCUUUUUUUUCUUUUGACUGAAUCUGCCAAAAAUCUUUUGCUUUCUCAAAACGUCCAUUCAAUUGUUCCCUUACCCCAACCAAGAAAUUUUUCUUUCAAACGUCCCUUCACAUGAUUAAACAUGUUUCCGCAUCUUUAUCUUCCAUCUGCAACCACAUCAACCAUUCAACAACUAAGAGUAUAGAUAAGCAACAACAAAAUUGAAAAGGAUGAGAAGAAGAAAGGAAGAACAUCGAGGCUUUUUUUCUUCUGGUCAGAUCUGACCCGAUGGCCCUGACAUUUUUUCAAUUGGAAACAAAUUCAAGAGGAGCUGAAAAGAUGGUACCUUCAAGAUGUGUGGUGAACAAAUUGAGUGAAUCAUUCUCAUAAUUCCCCAGUAACAAGUGGAUGUUACUGGAUGAUAUAUGGAGAAAUAUUUAUUAUAUUUAUUAUAUUUAUUAAACAUUGGAUAUUUAUUAUAUUUAUUAUAUAUAAUCAAUGUGUUGUAUGUAAUAUAUAUUUAACAUAA
Long non-coding RNA from Vicia villosa (hairy vetch), 551 nucleotides. RefSeq lists it as uncharacterized. Lineage: Eukaryota; Viridiplantae; Streptophyta; Magnoliopsida; Fabales; Fabaceae. The record is from RefSeq and is a predicted model, not a curated record. The transcript is spliced from 4 exons.